GAAAGAACCAAGAAUAGUAAUAAUAUUAUAUACGUUGAACUUCUUUCGCACCGUACGUGACGAACAGUGCUAACCGGAGCUUAGGACACCAACACUAAACAUGAAAAAAAACCCCAGCAAACACGACUCGGUGUUAUUAUGGAUUGUGGUGUAGAGAAAAUAGACUGACCCCGUUCGUAGGGCGGGCUGGCUGCCACCUGCUUGCUUGUCUGCAGCUCACUCACUCUCUCUGAAACUUCCUUAUCGUGAUCGUUUAUGCACCGUCCUCAUCAAAUAUAAACCCAUCGAGAAGACGAGUAGGUUUUCUAAAAGGCCACGGGAAAUCAUUGCACAACUGUAACUCUGUCUCCCUCUGCGUGUAUAUUGAUACUGAAUGUAUUUAAAACUUCGGGAGCAGGAACACGUUUUUUAAUCGGUCUCCACGUCGUAUGGAUGCUGCUAUUGUAUCACUGAGCCAUUGUUUAUCCACUGCUGGAUGAAAGUCCUCUGGCCACGCCGCCGUCAUCCGUUCCACGUGGCGGUCACGCGCCUGCACAUUGGCCGAUCCCAGUCGCUCCAUCUCCUUGCAACGGACGUCCGAGUAUAUUGAUUGAGACAAAUCACUUGAACGUUCUCAGUCAUGAAAGUAAUCGAUGUAUAUUUAAGCGGCGUUAUUUAAAUUUGCGCGUAAUUACACAGCGCGGGACUGUAUUCCGUGUUUGUGACGAUGCGUUGCGUAGUGAAAGGGUCAUACAUAAUUCGUUUAUCAUUCUUUGUUUCGUCAACAUUUUUUAAACUAUAGUCAAGCGCCUGGAGUUGCGGGCGUUCUAUAAAUAUGUAUAAAAUAUGAGAUGAUAUUAUAGUUUAGUGGUGCUCGUAAUAAAUGCCGUAACAAUGAUUGUAUUCGGUAAAACUAUUUAAAAAAUUCACGAAAUUUGACUUAAACAUCCCGGUUAGCAUCGAGACUCCGUGUGGACCUUCCUAGGUAAAUAAAUAAUAUUAUAAACUAUUAAUAUUUGUAUUAUUACUACUUACCAAUAGUCAUUGAAGUACAUAACGUGGCACGCGUUCUAUCACGAGAUACAAAACAAUCCCGUACCGAGUUGGAGUAUUACCGCACAGGUUCGUGAGAGUUGGUGACAGCGGGGCCUUGGGGGUAGGGGAGGGCCUUCAUCCAGCAGUGGAGCGACCGAGGAUCAUGCCGAUGACGUAGAGUAACUAGCCCGAAGUGGGCCUUCAUCCAGCAGUGGAGCGACCGUGCAUCAUGACGAUGACGUAGAGUAACUAGCCCGAAGUGGGCCUUCAUCCAGCAGUGGAGCGACCGUGCAUCAUGACGAUGACGUAGAGUAACUAGCCCGAAGAGGGCCUUCAUCCAGCAGUGGAGCGACCGUGGCUCAUGACGAUGGUAUUGAUGAUGAUAGUGCAAAGAAAAUCGCCCGAAGCUCCUUGAUGCGUGUUCUGCAUAGAACGGCAGUGCUGUUUGGCACGAUGCCCGAAGUUUCGCUCCAAACAACAACAAAGUGGAAUAUGAAACUUGAAUUGAAAUCGCGCGGCGGGUUUUCUCCGGCUGCUCCGAUGACCACCUCCUCCCACUUCGAUAAUAACUGCAAUCUCGUCAUCCCCGAAUCGCCUGGAAACAUCUCAAGGGUUCUGUCUUCACGACUGAAGUUUUAAACGGUUUUCGCAGUCGAAGCGUCAUCAAGAUAACGCUCCCGCAGAGCGGAAGCUAUCAGGCUGAUCAAUCAGUUGGUCAUUUCCAGAGUCAAGCAACGCGCGGGUCGUCAUUGCGAGAGGUUGAUGUACCGAGCAGAGGUUCAUUGCAAGUUGUGUGUAGAUCUUUUACUAAAGGUUAACCACAAUUCAUUUGCUGGCGUUGCUGCUGCUGUUGUUGUUGCGUUGGCAGUGCGACAAAAGCACAAAUAACAACAUCAACAAACCCAACACAUACUUCAAUAACACUAUUGUAUGGCCUUAAAACGGAUAUAUAUACAAGUCGAGUGCAAGUUAAACUCUAAAAAAACUAUACAACUUUUAUUUUUUAUCUUACCGUGUAAGGCUCAUUGAGAAGCGACUUGGCCACAGAUGAUAGCUCAACGAAGUGGCUUAUCAUCAUCUCGUGGAAAUGUACAGCAGUAGCCAAACACUCGAAACGCGUGAUGUUGAUUCUGAAUGUGGAGGGAAAAAAACCGAAGAACACGGAGAAAAAUCCACGCGGCCACGGGGAGAAAGAGAGAAAAUUCAAACUCAAAAUAUACAAUCGGCGUCAAGGGUCGGGAUCGAACCCACGACCUCCUGUAAACGAGGCGAGGGAGUUAACAGCUCGUCACCGCGGCGCUCAAAUUAAGCGAAGUCUCCAAUCUGUAUUAACUUUCAUCCCUCUGACCUCUCUAUGAUGUAUGUGCUAUGAUGAAGGGUCAUUGUCUGAAACGUCGCCUAUUAUAUAUGUGUUCUCUAACACCCACAGCGCCAUUGACAAAUGUGCUGCGUGUUUUUUAAAAACUCAUUUAAAUGCAACUCGGCCAGCAGACAACAUCGCUUUACACGAAGUUAAUUAUCUUAUUUUAUUACAAUUGUCUUGAACGCGAACAUAUCCACCAGGCCGCAUCUACAGUCACAUUGGGUGUUGUGUUAAAAAAUACCCCUUCAAUAUGAAUACCUAUAUAGUAGUAUACAUUUGGCUUUUUUGUAUUUUUCUAUAUAUCAUAUAUUUGUUUGACUGUGUGUUCUAACGUGCAUGUAUUGCCUACAUCUCUUAAACAAACUCGCUUAAACAAAUACUGCUGCUUGAUAACGUUGGUCUGGACAUAUACUGAAAUAGGCUGAUUGACUUUUUAUUUAGGCAUACGCACUACUGGCAUCAAUCUCGUGCGAAUGACGAAGGGAUAUUGCCCGAAACGUCAGCCUCAUGUGGACGUUCCCUUUUAAGGCCUCAAAACACGGACGGUGUCACAUUUGUAUUUAUUUACACGUGGUAACAUUGCAGGAUCUCUGAUUUCGUUUAACUUUAUAGAGAACGCAAGAAGCGGUUCAAAGUUUAUAAGCAGCAUGCGCGCGUGUCUUUGAAAAACAAACAAAAAAACAUUCAGAAAUAAACUGACGCUUUAAGUUUGCAGGAUAACGAGCUUUUAAUACGCGUAGCCUAAUCGCCAUUCCAUUCGUGUGGCAUUAUGCAACGUAUUCAUUGUUUAGCAACGCGAUUGUGUGUCAAUCCACUGCUGGAUGAAGGCGUGUGGGGGGGGGGGGAGCUUGGGAUUGGAGGAUAUUUAACCAUACUUCACCACGCUGGUCAAACGCCGGUUGGUGAAGGUGAUGACUCUUGUUGGGUUUGUUCAU
Lethenteron reissneri (Far Eastern brook lamprey) is the source of this 3312-nucleotide long non-coding RNA. RefSeq lists it as uncharacterized. The record is from RefSeq and is a predicted model, not a curated record. NCBI's taxonomy places the organism in Eukaryota, Metazoa, Chordata, Hyperoartia, Petromyzontiformes, Petromyzontidae.